CCGACGGUGAGAGAUGAAAGCCGGGGGAGCGAACCGGAUUAGAUACCCGGGUAGUCCCGGCUGUAAACGAUGCGGGCUAGCUGUUGGGUGGUCUUACAGCCCACAAAGGGGCGCACUUUUUCAGUUUAGCCCGCCGCCUGGGGAGUACGGCCGCAAGGCUGAAACUCUAAGGAAUUGGCGGAGGCCCCCCACAAGGGGUGGAGACUGCGGUUCGUUGCAGGCACCGCCGGGCAUCUUAUC
This 240-nucleotide ribosomal RNA is filed under the name uncultured archaeon. Its description in RNAcentral is "partial 16S ribosomal RNA". It matches the Rfam family "Archaeal small subunit ribosomal RNA", at positions 691 to 931 of the family's 1478-position model. The record is from RNAcentral.